This 314-nucleotide unclassified non-coding RNA is filed under the name uncultured fungus. RNAcentral describes it as "partial contains small subunit ribosomal RNA, internal transcribed spacer 1, and 5.8S ribosomal RNA". The stretch from base 1 to 73 matches the Rfam family "Eukaryotic small subunit ribosomal RNA", at positions 1759 to 1831 of the family's 1831-position model. The record is from RNAcentral. Lineage: Eukaryota; Fungi.
UCAAACUUGGUCAUUUAGAGGAAGUAAAAGUCGUAACAAGGUUUCCGUAGGUGAACCUGCGGAAGGAUCAUUAACAAUUAUCCACGAUAAUGGAUAAUUUUAUCCAUAUCCACCUUGUGUGAAUUACUGAAGUGUUUGUUGGCAGGUUGAAAGGCAAUCCGUUAUGGAGAGCUUGCGAGCUUCCGGCUCGGCCUGCCAAUUUUAUUUGUUUAAACUUGUCUAAAUAUUGCUGUCUGAAAUAAUUUAAAUAUAUAAUAUUAAAUACAACUUUCAACAACGGAUCUCUUGGCUCUCGCAUCGAUGAAGAACGCAGC